GAUGAACGCUGGCGGCGUGCUUAACACAUGCAAGUCGAACGGAAAGGCCCAAGCUUGCUUGGGUACUCGAGUGGCGAACGGGUGAGUAACACGUGGGUGAUCUGCCCUGCACUUCGGGAUAAGCCUGGGAAACUGGGUCUAAUACCGGAUAGGACGAUGGUUUGGAUGCCAUUGUGGAAAGUUUUUUCGGUGUGGGAUGAGCUCGCGGCCUAUCAGCUUGUUGGUGGGGUAAUGGCCUACCAAGGCGUCGACGGGUAGCCGGCCUGAGAGGGUGUACGGCCACAUUGGGACUGAGAUACGGCCCAGACUCCUACGGGAGGCAGCAGUGGGGAAUAUUGGACAAUGGGCGCAAGCCUGAUGCAGCGACGCCGCGUGGGGGAUGACGGCCUUCGGGUUGUAAACUCCUUUCGCUAGGGACGAAGCGUUUUGUGACGGUACCUGGAGAAGAAGCACCGGCUAACUACGUG
Molecule: ribosomal RNA, 467 nt
Filed under: uncultured bacterium
Lineage: Bacteria
Description: partial 16S ribosomal RNA
Rfam family: Bacterial small subunit ribosomal RNA
Source: RNAcentral